UGAAUACGAGAUGCUACGGCAUUGAAGCAGUCUAUGUCAGACUUCCAGGAAAAGCUCGCAAUGUCAGAAACAAUAAAUGCCUGUACCAUAACCGACACAGGUGGGUAGGUAGAGUAUACUAAGGGGCGCGAGAUAACUCUCUCUAAGGAACUCGGCAAAAUGACUCCGUAACUUCGGGAGAAGGAGUGCCUUAUUUUUAAGGUUGCAAUAACAAGAUCCAAGCAACUGUUUACCAAAAACACAGGUCUCCGCUAAGUCGUAAGACGAUGUAUGGGGGCUGACGCCUGCCCAGUGCCAGAAGGUUAAAGAAGUUGGUUAGCCUAGCGAAGCUGAUGACUGAAGCCCUGGUGAACGGCGGCCGUAACGAUAACGGUCCUAAGGUAGCGAAAUUCCUUGUCGGGUAAGUUCCGACCCGCACGAAAGGCGUAAUGAUUUGGAUACUGUCUCGGAGAGGGGCUCGGUGAAAUAGACUUGUCUGUGAAGAUGCGGACUACCUGCACCUGGACAGAAAGACCCUAUGAAGCUUUACUGUAACUUGAGAUUGAAAUUGGGCUUUAUUUGCGCAGCAUAGGUGGGAGACGUUGAGAAUAUUCUUGCGGGAAUAUUGGAGUCAUCAGUGAGAUACCACUCUUGUAAUGUUAGAUUUCUAACUUUGUAUCAUUAUCUGGUCAAAGGACAGUUUCAGGCGGGCAGUUUGACUGGGGCGGUCGCCUCCCAAAGGGUAACGGAGGCGCACAAAGGUUUCCUCUGAACGUGUAGAAAUCGUAUCUAGAGUGUAAAGGCAUAAGGAAGCUUGACUGUGAGACCUACAAGUCGAGCAGGGACGAAAGUCGGUCUUAGUGAUCUGACGGUGCUGAGUGGAAAGGCCGUCACUCAACGGAUAAAAGUUACUCUAGGAUAACAGGCUGAUCUCCCCCAAGAGUUCACAUCGACGGGGAGGUUUGGCACCUCGAUGUCGGCUCAUCGCAUCCUGGGGCGGUAAUGGGUCCCAAGGGUUGGGCUGUUCGCCCAUUAAAGCGGUACGCGAGCUGGGUUCAGAACGUCGUGAGACAGUUCGGUCCAUAUCCGGUGUAGGCGUUAGAAUAUUGAGAGGAGCUUUCUUUAGUACGAGAGGACCGAGAAGGACAUACCUCUGGUGUACCAGUUAUCGUGCCAACGGUAAACGCUGGGUAGCUAUGUAUGGAGUGGAUAACCGCUGAAAGCAUCUAAGUGGGAAGCCCACCUCAAGAUAAG
Molecule: ribosomal RNA, 1233 nt
Filed under: metagenome
Description: bacterial LSU rRNA
Rfam family: Bacterial large subunit ribosomal RNA
Source: RNAcentral